RNAcentral lists this ribosomal RNA (468 nucleotides) under uncultured bacterium. RNAcentral's name for it is "partial 16S ribosomal RNA". It matches the Rfam family "Bacterial small subunit ribosomal RNA", at positions 28 to 507 of the family's 1533-position model. The record is from RNAcentral.
GACGAACGCUGGCGGCGUGCUUAACACAUGCAUGUCGAACGGAAAGGCCCUGCUUUUGUGGGGUGCUCGAGUGGCGAACGGGUGAGUAACACGUGAGUAACCUGCCCUUGACUUUGGGAUAACUUCAGGAAACUGGGGCUAAUACCGGAUAGGAGCUCCUGCUGCAUGGUGGGGGUUGGAAAGUUUCGGCGGUUGGGGAUGGACUCGCGGCUCAUCAGCUUGUUGGUGGGGUAGUGGCUUACCAAGGCUUUGACGGGUAGCCGGCCUGAGAGGGUGACCGGCCACAUUGGGACUGAGAUACGGCCCAGACUCCUACGGGAGGCAGCAGUGGGGAAUAUUGCACAAUGGGCGGAAGCCUGAUGCAGCAACGCCGCGUGCGGGAUGACGGCCUUCGGGUUGUAAACCGCUUUCGCCUGUGACGAAGCGUGAGUGACGGUAAUGGGUAAAGAAGCACCGGCUAACUACGUG